ACGAAAGUCUUCCGGUUCCGGGGGAAGUAUGGUUGCAAAGCUGAAACUUAAAGGAAUUGACGGAAGGGCACCACCAGGAGUGGAGCCUGCGGCUUAAUUUGACUCAACACGGGAAAACUCACCCGGCCCGGACACCGUGAGGAUUGACAGAUUGAUAGCUUUUUCAUGAUUCGGUGGUUGGUGGUGCAUGGCCGUUCUUAGUUCGUGGAUCGAUUUGUCUGGUUUAUUCCGAUAACGAGCGAGACUCCAGCCUACUAACUAGUGCGGGCAUUGCCUCUGUGCUUGUCACUUCUUAGAGGGAUUGGCUGCGUCUAGCGGCACGAAACGGAGCAAUAACAGGUCUGUGAUGCCCUUAGAUGUCCGGGGCUGCACGCGCGCUACACUGGCAAAGGCAGCRUGCUUGUCCGCCUCCGAAAGGAGCCGGUAAACCCUUGAAAAUUUGCCGUGAUUGGGAUCGGAAAUUGCAAUUAUUUUCCGUGAACGAGGAAUUCCUAGUAAGUGCGAGU
RNAcentral lists this ribosomal RNA (506 nucleotides) under Ogma aquitanense. Its description in RNAcentral is "SSU rRNA". It matches the Rfam family "Eukaryotic small subunit ribosomal RNA", at positions 1108 to 1648 of the family's 1831-position model. The record is from RNAcentral. Lineage: Eukaryota; Metazoa; Nematoda; Chromadorea; Rhabditida; Criconematidae.